CUCAGUUCGGAUUGGAGGCUGAAACUCGCCUCCAUGAAGUUGGAUUCGCUAGUAAUCGCGCAUCAGCCAUGGCGCGGUGAAUACGUUCCCGGGCCUUGUACACACCGCCCGUCAAGCCAUGGGAGUUGGGGGUGCCUGAAGUUCGUGACCGCAAGGAGCGACCUAGGGCAAAACUAAUGACUGGGGCUAAGUCGUAACAAGGUAUC
RNAcentral lists this ribosomal RNA (206 nucleotides) under uncultured bacterium. RNAcentral describes it as "partial 16S ribosomal RNA". It matches the Rfam family "Bacterial small subunit ribosomal RNA", at positions 1287 to 1500 of the family's 1533-position model. The record is from RNAcentral.